Molecule: ribosomal RNA, 3585 nt
Filed under: Triticum aestivum (bread wheat)
Lineage: Eukaryota; Viridiplantae; Streptophyta; Magnoliopsida; Poales; Poaceae
Description: partial small subunit ribosomal RNA
Source: RNAcentral
AUGGCGAUUUACCGAGGGGCAUGGAAAUAUGCGGUAAUCAUGGGAAAUCUUGAAAUUUUGACUGGUAACCAAAACAGUGAUAAGAUAUUCCGAACAGAACUGCUGACAUUUGAAGGAUUGAUUCGAUUCAUCAUGCCUAAACCAGAGGAGAUCAAGAUCCAAGCAAAAAAUAUCGAUGCUGCAGCAGGAGAGAUGAUUGGCGUUUUGGAGGGUACAAGCAAAGGAAAUGUUAUCCUCGUCCAUGGUUGGCAUGGAUUUGGGGCAUCAGCGGCACUGAAGGUACUAGCACAACGUAUGAAAUCAUCAAAAUCAAAGUUUGACAGGGUUAUCCAUGUCGAUUGCUCAGUGUGGAAAAGCAUGAGGGCUCUGCAAAAGGCAGUCGCAGAGGAGCUGGAGCUUCCACCGUCGGUGAUGGCCAUCUUCGAUUGGUGCGAUGAGGAGGAUGAUUUUAGUGGGAUAGAUGAAGGGUCUCGAGGGGUCAUAGCAGAUAUGAGAUCAGAAAUCUUCAGAAAUCUCAUUAGUAGCAGAUUUGUGGUGAUAUUUCACAAUGGGAGCAUGAAAUACAUUGAUCUGUACGAGUCUUGUGGUGCCCCAGCAAUAUCAGUUUUGAGUAAUAAGGUGUUGUGGACCUGGCACGGGAGGUUUCAAUCCAAAUACAUAGAUUUCGAGGAACGUGAAAAGAUGGAGCUGCAUACUGAUGUUGUUGUCAAUUAUUCUCAUGACGAUUGCAUCCGUGACGAAGCAUUAUUGGAAGAGGCCAAGGAGAUUGUCGCUUAUAUGGGUAUUUCAGAGCCUGACAUGAACCAUAUGAUUGUUGAGAAGUGCUUCCAGUACGCCUGUGCAUUGGGAUCUCGAUCUCCCGGGUUCAAGUGGGUGAACUGGGAGAACCAUGCUUCAAUCUACUUGGUAUGCGAUGGGAUUAUACAAGGGCAAGGCGAUACAUCAGCAUGGGUAAUUGCCGAUGCUCUACAGAGAAACAUGUCUAUGGAUUGGCUUCGUUUCCGCACUGAUGAUGACGUUCUUCGUCGUCACCUGCUUCAUGACCGCUGGGACCUGCGACCUGGUGAGGUUGGCAUAGUGCUUUCUGAAGUGACAUCCUUCUUCGCCGUACCAGAUACUACAUACCUUGUCCGAACGGCGACAUUACAAAAUGGAAUAUUCCAACAUUCGCACAGCAGCAAGCUGCGUGUGUUACAUCUCUCUCAUUGCAGAUUCAGUUUUGAAUCGCCUCCCUUCCUGUGUUGCAGCCAGCUAAGACUCCUCCAGCUGAACAACUGCAGAAAUAUCCCAUCUGAUAAGCAUCCAAGCCACAACGAAGACAUGUCAUGCUUCCAGAAGCUAUGGGUGCUGCACCUGAGGUCUACAAGCUGGUAUCGAUUACUAUCAGCAGAGAUGAAGAACUUUAUGGCUGACCUCAGGGAGUUGACUGUAGAAGAAGUCAAGGAUUGGAGCAUAAGUGAUUUACGUGGCAGGGGACCUUCCCUUGUCAAGGUCCACGUAGAGGAACAAGGCUGCUACUUACCAACCAAGGACCACAACUUGCCUGACCUAUCUAGCGCAAGCUUCCUUAAGACAGUCAUCCUUAUCAAUUGUGUUCAUGUGGAACAGGUUGUCCCCGGCAUGAUGCCCCCAUCGGUUGAGUCAUUCACCUUCUUGCGUGAUUCUUAUACUCAUCAUGACUACCCUAGGAUAUCUAGAAUUUCCUUCCGGGGUUGUUCUCAGUUGAAGAGUAUACUAUGGCAAGGAGAUCUAGAGAAACUCGAGGAGCUGGACCUCUCAGGCACAGCAGUGAAAACCCUCGACCUCAGAGAGUUGGAAAUUAACAAUAUCAAAUCCCUCAUCUUGUUGGGCUGUGAGAAGCUUUAUGCAAUAUUAUGGCCGCCGAAAAACAAAAGGACAAAGGUUUUGGAGGUGCUGCACACCAGCACCAUACAAUCUACAUCACCUGGCCAAGCUAGUUUGGAAGAAAAACCCCAGAAACCUAUUGCAGCUAUGGGAUCAUCAUCUAGUCCUGUUGCUACUGCUAAAGAACAGGGCAUCCGUCGAUAUGCGUCCUUUGACUUUAAGUGGUAUAUCUGCACAAGGGAUACAAGGAUCCUUAGGUCGCUUGAACCGGUUAAAAGAUAUAUUGAGCACAGUCAUGUAUAUAUGGAAAUGGGUUCAUCUCCUACAACUGCUGCUACUGUUGGUGACGGUGAAGCUGCUCAAGGAAUCCGGAGUCUGCGCAAGCCUGAUAAUUAUUUAUAUGCAAGGGAUCUCUUCUGUCAGAGCGACCUACAGGCUGGCGCUGAUAAUGAAGGUGCAAUCAGCUGGAUGUGGGAUUGCCCAGCUAGUCCUACUCCAAGGGCCCAAGACUUGUAUCUUCACAUACAUGAUAAGCAGGAGUUAACAAUGCUCGCAUGCUUCACCUGCAUGAUAGCUCAUCCGUCAUUUGCAUCAGAUGCCCACAACCACAAGGUUCAUGCUGGAGGUGGCUUGAAUGGUGCCGAGUCGAGAGUACUAUUGCACCUGGACUAUUGCCCUAGGCUCAUACAUGCGCUACCCUUGUCCGAGUCUGUGGACACUUUGCCUCAUUUGGAUACCCUGGAGAUUGUGUGUUGCGGUGAUCUAAGGGAGGUUUUCGCUUUGGACACUAAGCAAAAGCAGCAGAGAAUUAUAGGAUGCCCCAAGCUAAGGCGCAUUCACCUGUAUGAGCUCCCCAGCCUGCAGCACAUCAGUGGGAGCAGGAUGUCCGCGCCCAACUUGGAGACCGUCAAGAUCAGGGGCUGCUGGAGCCUCAGGAGCCUACCAGCCGUCAGCAGAAACAAUGAGAAGCUGCCUAGUGUGGACUGCGAGAAGGAUUGGUGGGAUAACCUGGAGUGGGAUGGGGUGGAAGCGAACCACCAUCCUUCACUCUAUGAGCAUAACCACUCGUCAUACUACAAGGCCCAACAACAAAGAGGCACCGUACUAAGUAAACCAAUCAUCUCACUGGCGAUUUGUUUUUGCUGCACCUUAGGUAAUCAGUUCCUUCCAUGGGACAUGAACGUUGAUCCUGUCAUCCUGUGGUGCUCCCUACGCAGCGGAUCCAAGGUGCCGAGCCUCUGCAGCAGCUUCAUGGAUCUGCAUUGCCAUGGUUUGGCGGUGCCACCCUCAGAGUUUGGUUUGAUGAUGCAUGUUGCAAGCUUUGAGCGAGAUGGAGAAAUAAAUGAGAGUGCAUUCAGCCUGGGCAGUAUGAGCAACCCGCCUGCUCAUGUUGCUUACAUACAUGCAUGCUACUCCUCUGGCCGAUCCAGGCCAAAUGUUGCUGGAGGUGGGGGAGGCGAGCCGGCGGUGUCGGUUAGGCGGAGGUGGCUUGAAAUCAAGGAGGCGAUGCAUCAGGCGAGAGAACAGAGAAGUCUCUCUCUGCGCGCGGCCGUCUCCCGGGGGCGCUGGCUCCACAGCAGCGGACCGGAGCUCGACCCGCCAAUGUGGACUGCUCUGGCAGUGUGGAGUGCGGAAGUGAAGGCUUGUUGGCACACGCCCCGUCUUGCAACUAUACCUGUGCCUGUUCCAUUAGCAUAUGGAUGUACAUGUGAAGUGACAAGCCUGUCAGACAGACUAUGA